AUUGAACGCUGGCGGCAUGCCUUACACAUGCAAGUCGAACGGCAGCACGGGAGCAAUCCUGGUGGCGAGUGGCGAACGGGUGAGUAAUAUAUCGGAACGUGCCCAGUCGUGGGGGAUAACGUAGCGAAAGCUACGCUAAUACCGCAUACGAUCUAUGGAUGAAAGCGGGGGAUCGCAAGACCUCGCGCGAUUGGAGCGGCCGAUAUCAGAUUAGGUAGUUGGUGGGGUAAAGGCCUACCAAGCCUGCGAUCUGUAGCUGGUCUGAGAGGACGACCAGCCACACUGGAACUGAGACACGGUCCAGACUCCUACGGGAGGCAGCAGUGGGGAAUUUUGGACAAUGGGCGCAAGCCUGAUCCAGCAAUGCCGCGUGCAGGAUGAAGGCCUUCGGGUUGUAAACUGCUUUUGUACGGAGCGAAAAGGCUCUCUCUAAUACAGGGGGCUCAUGACGGUACCGUAAGAAUAAGCACCGGCUAACUACGUGCCAGCAGCCGCCGCAG
RNAcentral lists this ribosomal RNA (500 nucleotides) under uncultured bacterium. RNAcentral describes it as "partial 16S ribosomal RNA". It matches the Rfam family "Bacterial small subunit ribosomal RNA", at positions 30 to 523 of the family's 1533-position model. The record is from RNAcentral.